UACGUAGGGUGCAAGCGUUAAUCGGAAUUACUGGGCGUAAAGCGCGCGCAGGCGGUCUUCCAAGUCAGUGGUGAAAGCCCGGAGCUCAACUCCGGAACUGCCAUUGAAACUGUUGGACUUGAGUACGAGAGAGGUGAGUGGAAUUCCCAGUGUAGAGGUGAAAUUCGUAGAUAUUGGGAAGAACACCGGUGGCGAAGGCGGCUCACUGGCUCGUAACUGACGCUCAGGCGCGACAGCGUGGGGAUCAAACAGG
Molecule: ribosomal RNA, 253 nt
Filed under: uncultured bacterium
Lineage: Bacteria
Description: partial 16S ribosomal RNA
Rfam family: Bacterial small subunit ribosomal RNA
Source: RNAcentral